Molecule: non-coding RNA, 121 nt
Organism: Picea glauca (white spruce)
Lineage: Eukaryota; Viridiplantae; Streptophyta; Pinopsida; Pinales; Pinaceae
Source: Rfam
ACAUGCAUACAACAUAGUGUUAAUGCACUGAAUCCCAUUAUAACUCCGCAGUUAAGCAUGCUCGAGCUAUAGUAGUACUGGGAUGAGUGACCUCCUGGGAAGCCCUAGUGUUUUACAUGCC